UUUAAUAUUAUGAUAUCGUCCACAGAUCUUAUGUAGCAUUUAAGCUCCGUUUUGAAAACGAGAAGGGUCCCCAACCCUGCUUGCCCUCGCCUUUUCGCUUAUGCGAAAACCCAUAAGACACCGGUGAAGUUUCUACCCAUUGUGGAAAGGAUGAGAUCACCAACUUAUAAUUUAGAGAAAAAGAUCGCUUCCUGGAUUAACCAGCACUUCAAAGGUUAUCAAUAUACGAUACGAUCCUCUGUAGAAUUUUUGAAUGUAAUAGCGCAAUUCUGCCUGCGAGACGCAGAUAUUUUAACUACGUACGACUUUGAGAACUUGUAUCCCAGCUUGAAUAUUGCACCGGCUUGUCUCAC
This 353-nucleotide long non-coding RNA is filed under the name Androctonus crassicauda. Lineage: Eukaryota; Metazoa; Arthropoda; Arachnida; Scorpiones; Buthidae. The record is from RNAcentral.